This 206-nucleotide ribosomal RNA is filed under the name uncultured bacterium. RNAcentral describes it as "partial 16S ribosomal RNA". It matches the Rfam family "Bacterial small subunit ribosomal RNA", at positions 568 to 773 of the family's 1533-position model. The record is from RNAcentral.
UGCGUAGGCGGCCUGACAAGUUGGGUGUGAAAUACCUCGGCUCAACCGAGGAGUGGCGCUCAAAACUGUUGGGCUAGAGGAAGAUAGAGGUGAGCGGAACUUAAGGUGGAGCGGUGAAAUGCGUUGAUAUCUUAAGGAACACCCGUGGCGAAAGCGGCUCACUGGAUCUUUUCUGACGCUGAGGCACGAAAGCUAGGGGAGCAACG